AGGGUGAGGGAGGCGCAGACUCCGCUGCCCCGGGGUCUGGGGGGCCCGGGGGGGACGGAGGCGCAGGCCAGUCGCCUUCGGAGGGGACGACGCCGUUGAGUGGCCCGGGCCGGGGCGCUGGCGGGGACAGCGAGAAGCGCACGUGAGCCCGCGGAUUAGAGCCCGUGGUCGAGAGCGCGGUCCUGGAGGCAGGAGGGGGUCGAUGAAGGUCGAUUGUCGGAUCAGAGCUGGUUCUAGAAACAUCCCGCGGCGGAGCGCAGGGCGGAGCGGAGCUGGGAGGCCCAGGGAGGAAAUGGCUGAAGUCGUCCGGACCCAGGUUUCCACGUGAGGGCUGUGAGCUAGAAGCCGGGGACAAAAGGCCAGCAAGACAAAGAUCACGGCCCAGCAGACAGGCCAACGAGACGGGAUGAGGUGAUCAAUCGUUCACAGGUGAUGCUAGGUUUCCUUUUCAAUGCUCCACUCUGCCCUACUGAGGGAAACCGCUGUCUGAACAGGAAGACUCGACAGAUGCCUAACCCGCUUCCCAGCUCCAUCCCCCUGUGUGUGUGUAGCCCAAGAACAGGGAGCUCAUCCCUCUCACCUCUAACACGAAGGCUUCUACUUUGGAGGUACCAUUUCCCUCUUCAAGGGGGCAGGAACAGUCUUACAAAGUCACUUACUACGUAAGACCAUGGAAUGAAUGAUGCAGCUGCACAACCAAGGUGAGAUCCAUGCUUUAUGAACACAUUAUUCUCACAUGUCCCAGUGACAGGUUUAAUACACAAGAUUCUCAGUUCAUUUUACAGACUCUGGAACCAAGUUGUUCAGAAGAUGAAUUCUGAAACCAUAGUUGGUGUAGCAAAUUAAUAUAUCAAAACAAAUAAAAACUUCAAAUAUUUACAUUUAAAAAAGACAUUUAAAAAACAGGCUACUUAUUAAGUAAGUGUGCUUGAACAAACCAUGUGUGGAAUUGAAUUCCAUUCAUUAUGGAGUUAGUUUCUGUUAAACACUGACACUACAGAGACCCCUGGCAUCUGAGGACUCAAGAAUUUAAGUGUUCCCAAUCUAUGCUAAAAAACAAAACAUGACAGAUGAUUUCCGUGCGCUAAUUUGAACCUCAGAUAUGGAAGGUCUAGUACAUAUAAGGCAGAUUACUCAGGAGUCAGAAGGCCUGGCACUUGUAACUCAGCGUGGCUUUCCCAUUGCCUAAGUAUCACCAGGAAUUCAAUAAAAUGCUCUGUAGAGGUCAUUUAAAUUUUUUGAUUACACCUUACUUCAUUAUGUCCUAGUAAUUUCACAAAUUUGGACAUUCACAAAAAUGUUUUGAAAUAUAUCGAUAUUCCUUGAGAAGGUGGAGGGUCUCCUAUAUUACAUCAAAUAAAAACCAUGCAGUUUCUUAGAGCUCACAGAGCUUUCCAAAAUAAACUACUGAUCAUACAGCCCAAUUAAAAACUCAAAACACUUUAUAUUACAGGUAUAGAAAGCUUCUUUAGCUCAGCAUUGCCAAUAUAGUUAAUUUGACACCUUAGCCCUACUUCCAAAGCGGUUAACAGCUUUACAGUGACUUUUUUUUUUUUUUUUUGCGGUACGCGGGCCUCUCCCGCUGCGGAGCGCAGGCUCCAGACGUGCAGGCUCAGCGGCCAUG
Molecule: long non-coding RNA, 1624 nt
Organism: Delphinapterus leucas (beluga whale)
Lineage: Eukaryota; Metazoa; Chordata; Mammalia; Artiodactyla; Monodontidae
Source: RefSeq, a predicted model, not a curated record